GUGGGGAAUAUUGCACAAUGGGCGAAAGCCUGAUGCAGCGACGCCGCGUGAGGGAUGACGGCCUUCGGGUUGUAAACCUCUUUCAGCAGGGACGAAGCGCAAGUGACGGUACCUGCAGAAGAAGCACCGGCUAACUACGUGCCAGCAGCCGCGGUAAUACGUAGGGUGCAAGCGUUGUCCGGAAUUACUGGGCGUAAAGAGUUCGUAGGCGGUUUGUCGCGUCGUUUGUGAAAACCAGCAGCUCAACUGCUGGCUUGCAGGCGAUACGGGCAGACUUGAGUACUGCAGGGGAGACUGGAAUUCCUGGUGUAGCGGUGAAAUGCGCAGAUAUCAGGAGGAACACCGGUGGCGAAGGCGGGUCUCUGGGCAGUAACUGACGCUGAGGAACGAAAGCGUGGGUAGCGAACAGGAUUAGAUACCCUAGUAGUCC
This 430-nucleotide ribosomal RNA is filed under the name uncultured bacterium. Its description in RNAcentral is "bacterial SSU rRNA". It matches the Rfam family "Bacterial small subunit ribosomal RNA", at positions 354 to 796 of the family's 1533-position model. The record is from RNAcentral.